RNAcentral lists this unclassified non-coding RNA (550 nucleotides) under Francoeuria undulata. RNAcentral describes it as "contains 3 external transcribed spacer, ETS". The record is from RNAcentral. Lineage: Eukaryota; Viridiplantae; Streptophyta; Magnoliopsida; Asterales; Asteraceae.
GCAUCCUGGGAGCUGUUCGGAUUGGUUUGUUACUGGUGGUUGGCUCUCUGCUUUUGCAACAACUUCCACCUGGCAGACCUCUUCGGUUUUGCGUCAAGGUUGCGUUUCCUUGAGCACUUAUGGUUUCCUGUGUUGCCUACCUGUGUGAUGGUAUCGGUUGAUUAAAUCGUAGUCAUGUUUCAUCUUGUGUCAGUUGUAUGGCGUAGGAUGAACCUUAAAGCAACCUCUAUGAUCCACCUUGUUGAUGCACAUGCGUCUAUGUUGUGGCUCAUUGAGUUUUGCUUGGUUUUCUGGAUACAGAACCCGGAUGGGUGUGGGUCUCUGCGAUUCCUUUUUGCCCUUGUUGAACGUUGCUAUUACUUUGAAAUGACUGCCUAUCUCGAAUUGGCUCGUACCACCGGGUUGGUUAAAGUUGUUGAAAAGCGAUACUAGCGUUCUUGCUUCUCUAAAAAGGACGGCCUCGCCAGGAUUGGCUUGUACCAUCGGGUGGGCUAUGUCUAAGAGGGAUGCUACCUGGUUGAUCCUGCCAGUAGUCAUAUGCUUGUCUCAA